CCGCGUGCGGGAUGAAGGCCUUCGGGUUGUAAACCGCUUUUGAUCGGGAGCAAGCCCUUCGGGGUGAGUGUACCCUUCGAAUAAGCACCGGCUAACUACGUGCCAGCAGCCGCGGUAAUACGUAGGGUGCAAGCGUUAUCCGGAAUUAUUGGGCGUAAAGGGCUCGUAGGCGGUUCGUCGCGUCCGGUGUGAAAGCCCAUCGCUUAACGGUGGGUCUGCGCCGGGUACGGGCGGGCUGGAGUGCGGUAGGGGAGACUGGAAUUCCCGGUGUAACGGUGGAAUGUGUAGAUAUCGGGAAGAACACCAAUGGCGAAGGCAGGUCUCUGGGCCGUCACUGACGCUGAGGAGCGAAAGCGUGGGGAGCGAACAGGAUUAGAUACCCUGGUAGUCCACGCCGUAAACGGUGGAUGCUGGAUGUGGGGCCCGUUCCACGGGUUCCGUGUCGGAGCUAACGCGUUAAGCAUCCCGCCUGGGGAGUACGGCCGCAAGGCUAAAACUCAAAGAAAUUGACGGGGGCCCGCACAAGCGGCGGAGCAUGCGGAUUAAUUCGAUGCAACGCGAAGAACCUUACCUGGGCUUGACAUGU
Molecule: ribosomal RNA, 586 nt
Filed under: Bifidobacterium dentium
Lineage: Bacteria; Bacillati; Actinomycetota; Actinomycetes; Bifidobacteriales; Bifidobacteriaceae
Description: bacterial SSU rRNA
Rfam family: Bacterial small subunit ribosomal RNA
Source: RNAcentral